RNAcentral lists this transfer RNA (87 nucleotides) under uncultured marine virus. Its description in RNAcentral is "tRNA-Leu". It matches the Rfam family "tRNA". From Rfam's summary of the family: Transfer RNA (tRNA) molecules are approximately 80 nucleotides in length. Their secondary structure includes four short double-helical elements and three loops (D, anti-codon, and T loops). The record is from RNAcentral.
GGCCGGAUGAUGGAAGUGGUAGACAUGACAGACUUAAAAUCUGUUGGACAGUAUUGUCCGUGUGGGUUCAAGUCCCACUCCGGCUAC